RNAcentral lists this ribosomal RNA (383 nucleotides) under uncultured Escherichia sp. RNAcentral's name for it is "bacterial SSU rRNA". It matches the Rfam family "Bacterial small subunit ribosomal RNA", at positions 8 to 387 of the family's 1533-position model. Lineage: Bacteria; Pseudomonadati; Pseudomonadota; Gammaproteobacteria; Enterobacterales; Enterobacteriaceae. The record is from RNAcentral.
AGAGUUUGAUCCUGGCUCAGAUUGAACGCUGGCGGCAGGCCUAACACAUGCAAGUCGAACGGUAACAGGAAGCAGCUUGCUGCUUUGCUGACGAGUGGCGGACGGGUGAGUAAUGUCUGGGAAACUGCCCGAUGGAGGGGGAUAACUACUGGAAACGGUAGCUAAUACCGCAUAACGUCGCAAGACCAAAGAGAGGGACCUUCGGGCCUCUUGCCAUCGGAUGUGCCCAGAUGGGAUUAGCUAGUAGGUGGGGUAAAGGCUCACCUAGGCGACGAUCCCUAGCUGGUCUGAGAGGAUGACCAGCCACACUGGAACUGAGACACGGUCCAGACUCCUACGGGAGGCAGCAGUGGGGAAUAUUGCACAAUGGGCGCAAGCCUGAU